GAUGAACGCUAGCUACAGGCUUAACACAUGCAAGUCGAGGGGCAGCGGUAUCGAAAGCUUGCUUUCGGUAGCCGGCGACCGGCGCACGGGUGAGUAACGCGUAUCGAACCUGCCUCAUACUCGGGAAUAGCCUUGCGAAAGUAAGAUUAAUGCCCGGUGUUUUCAGAGUCCCGCAUGAGGCUUUGAACAAAGAUUUAUCGGUAUGAGAUGGCGAUGCGUCCCAUUAGCUUGUUGGCGGGGUAACGGCCCACCAAGGCAUCGAUGGGUAGGGGUUCUGAGAGGAAGGUCCCCCACAUUGGAACUGAGACACGAUCCAAACUCCUACGGGAGGCAGCAGUGAGGAAUAUUGGUCAAUGGGCGGAAGCCUGAACCAGCCAAGUAGCGUGCAGGAAGACGGCCCUCCGGGUUGUAAACUGCUUUUAGUUGGGAAUAAAACGGGGCUCGUGAGCCCCCUUGCAUGUACCAUCAGAAAAAGGACCGGCUAAUUCCGUG
RNAcentral lists this ribosomal RNA (492 nucleotides) under uncultured bacterium. Its description in RNAcentral is "partial 16S ribosomal RNA". It matches the Rfam family "Bacterial small subunit ribosomal RNA", at positions 28 to 507 of the family's 1533-position model. The record is from RNAcentral.